This 905-nucleotide long non-coding RNA is filed under the name Brassica rapa (field mustard). RNAcentral's name for it is "long non-coding RNA (BRAP_LNC000766)". Lineage: Eukaryota; Viridiplantae; Streptophyta; Magnoliopsida; Brassicales; Brassicaceae. The record is from RNAcentral.
UGAAGAACACUCAAUUUAAAGAAAUAUUCCAAGAUUGGAUUCAAAUGGGCUCAUCUGAUAAGAAGAAACAAGAGGAAACUAAGAACAGAACAUAAAGCCAACAUUUUCAAUUUCAAGCAAAGCUUCUAACUUUCUAUAAGGAGACCAAAGUUUUUGUAACAUCUGAACAAAGCCAAAGCUAAAAGGACAAGAACAAACCUAAGAAUCAGACAGGUCCUGUCUCCAAAGACGUAACAUUUUAAAGAACACAACAUAAAGCCACAACAGUUUCAGUUUCAAGCAAAGCUUGGAACUUUCUAAAAGGAAACCAAACUUUUUGUAACAUCUGAACAAAUAUAAAGCUAAAGACAUGAUCAAACCUAAAGAAACAGACAGAUCUUGUCUCCAAAGACGUAACAUUUUAAAGAACAGAACAUAAAGCUAACAUUCUCAAUUUCAAGCAACGAUUGGAACUUUCUAAAAAGAGACCAAACUUUUUUUUGUAACCUCUGAACAAAGCUAAAGCUAAAGACAUGAUCAAACCUAAAGAAUCAGACACACACUGUCUCCAAAGACGUAACAUUUAAAAGAACAGAACAUAAAGCCAACACUUUCAAUUUCAAGCAAAGGCUGCAAAGCCUCCAACUUUCUAUAAGGAAACCAAUUUUUUUUUGUAGCAUCUGAACAAAGCUAAAGCUAAAGACAAGAUCAAACCUACGAUUCAGACAGAUCCUGUCUCCAAAGACGGAACUUAAAAAAAAAACAGAACAUAAAAGCCAACAUUUUCAAUUUCAAGCAAAGCUUCAAACUUUCUAAAAGGAAACCACACUUUUUUUUUGUAACAUCUGAACAAAGCUAAAAGCUAAAGACAAGAUCAAACUUAAGAAUCAGACAGAUCAUGUCUCGGAAUACGUUAACUUUUUAAA